This is a long non-coding RNA of Centropristis striata (black sea bass), 385 nucleotides long. RefSeq lists it as uncharacterized. The record is from RefSeq and is a predicted model, not a curated record. Lineage: Eukaryota; Metazoa; Chordata; Actinopteri; Perciformes; Serranidae. The transcript is spliced from 4 exons.
UCAAUUUCCCAGAAUCCACUUCGCGGGCGCUAAAAUGUGACUCGGCAACGAACAUGCUAGCUUAACAGUACUCUCUGUUUGGAGUUUCUCUGAAGCGGUUGUUAAUCACAAAGCUGUUAAUUCUGUUUGACAGCAGCAGCUCAUCCUGCUGAUCAGCUUUGUGGGUGAUGAAGACGAAAUUAAGGAGCAGCACUUGAGAACCCUGUUGAGUCCGUUUCUUCUACUACUAGAUAUCCAAGGAGCGAGAUCUGAUGAAUGUGGCAGCCAGCCCCAUUCUCUCCUACAUGAAAGCUUAAAGAUGGAUUUUCCGCUUACAGUACAGUGUGGAGGCUCGCUCACAGGUGCAGUGUGGAGCAGGAGCGGCAUCUGCUGGCAAAGACCGAAG